RNAcentral lists this ribosomal RNA (158 nucleotides) under Hypocreopsis lichenoides. Its description in RNAcentral is "5.8S ribosomal RNA". It matches the Rfam family "5.8S ribosomal RNA". From Rfam's summary of the family: 5.8S ribosomal RNA (5.8S rRNA) is a component of the large subunit of the eukaryotic ribosome. It is transcribed by RNA polymerase I as part of the 45S precursor that also contains 18S and 28S rRNA. The record is from RNAcentral. Lineage: Eukaryota; Fungi; Ascomycota; Sordariomycetes; Hypocreales; Hypocreaceae.
AAACUUUCAACAACGGAUCUCUUGGCUCUGGCAUCGAUGAAGAACGCAGCGAAAUGCGAUAAGUAAUGCGAAUUGCAGAAUUCAGUGAAUCAUCGAACCUUUGAACGCACAUAGCGCCCGCCAGUAUUCUGGCGGGCAUGCCUGUCCGAGCGUUAUUU